Molecule: non-coding RNA, 751 nt
Organism: Paramuricea clavata
Lineage: Eukaryota; Metazoa; Cnidaria; Anthozoa; Malacalcyonacea; Plexauridae
Source: the annotation of a GenBank genome assembly
AAUGGGCUAUUCCAAUUAUUAUCCACACACCCCCCCUGUUGAGGAACCUUGGAAUUUCCAGGGGAGGGGGUGUAUUAACCUUGGAAUUUCCAGGGGAGGGGGUGUAUUAACCUUGGAAUUUCCAGGGGAGAGGUGCAUUAACUUUAAAUUUCCAGGGGAGGGAAUACAUUAACCCUGGAAUUUCCAGGGGAGGGGGUGCAUUAACCCUGGAAUUUCCAGGGAAGGGGGCAUUCAGGCUCUGGAUUUCCAAGGGGAGGAGUAAUUCUCACAUGGAAUUUCCAAAGGGAGGGGUAAAUUUGAUGGGAUGGAAAUUCCAUGGGAGGACAUAUGUUAGAGGCAAAUUUCCGGGAGUAAAUGUCCCAUGAUGGAAAUUCCAUAGGGAGGGGUAAUUUACACAUGGAAAUUCCAUGGACAGGGCCAAAUUUUAAAUGGAAAUUCCAUGGGGAAGGCCUAAUUUAGAAUGGAAAUUCCAUGGGGAAGGGUAAUUUUUACAAGGAAUUUCCAUGGGAAGGGGUAAAUUUUACAUGAAAAUUUGCGGAAAUUCCAGGGGAGUACCGACAUGAGAAAGGGGUUCCUCAACAGGGGGGGUGCGGAUAAUAAUUGGAAUAGCCCAACAUAAAAAGGCAGUUGACUUUGACGUUGAAUUCAUGUUAACUUGUUUUGUUUACGCGCAGGACACGCGUGUCCCAAGAGAAAUAAAUGUGUUAUAACGAUAGUGAUUUGCUUUUCUGGAAAAAAAUACAAAAUAAAG